AGUAAAAUAAGCUAAAAAAGCUUUUGGGCCCAUACCCCAAAAAUGUUGGUCAAACCUUCUUUUACUA
RNAcentral lists this transfer RNA (67 nucleotides) under Thorius n. sp. RLM-2004. RNAcentral's name for it is "tRNA-Met". Lineage: Eukaryota; Metazoa; Chordata; Amphibia; Caudata; Plethodontidae. The record is from RNAcentral.